AUCUAGUUUAGUUUAAACAUAUUUAUUUAUAGUGGAUUGGGAAACAAGUUUUGCAACUUAUAUUAAUCCCUUUCCACUUUGCAGGUGCGAGUGCUGCCUUGUAGCGGCAUUAGCCUGCUCUUUUUCGAAAUCUACAAGGGUGUCUUUAACGUGCAAGAGAUAUUGCUCUCUCUCUUAACACGGGUCAGCCAUUUAUCGUCCCCUUCCGACGGACUAUUAUCAUUUCCUCGAGACCAUACUCGCAUCUAGUUAACCUUAAGACUUUGUCUAAUAUCAGAAAAACUAUAAUUAUACUUAUUUUGCUGCAAGAUAUACCUCACACAUAACUAAUUAUGCAAUGCCAUGCAUUUAUAACUAUUUAACCGG
This 366-nucleotide long non-coding RNA is filed under the name Mytilus galloprovincialis (Mediterranean mussel). The record is from RNAcentral. Lineage: Eukaryota; Metazoa; Mollusca; Bivalvia; Mytilida; Mytilidae.